UACAGGGGGGGCAUGCGUUGUUCGGAAUUACUGGGCGUAAAGGGUUCGUAGGUGGCCACCUAAGUCAGACGUGAAAUCCCUCAGCUUAACUGGGGAACUGCGUCUGAUACUGGGUGGCUUGAGUGCAGGAGAGGAAUGCGGAAUUCCAGGUGUAGCGGUGAAAUGCGUAGAUAUCUGGAGGAACACCGGUGGCGAAGGCGGCAUUCUGGACUGUAACUGACACUGAGGAACGAAAGCCAGGGGAGCAAACGGG
RNAcentral lists this ribosomal RNA (253 nucleotides) under uncultured bacterium. RNAcentral's name for it is "partial 16S ribosomal RNA". It matches the Rfam family "Bacterial small subunit ribosomal RNA", at positions 524 to 776 of the family's 1533-position model. The record is from RNAcentral.